This 68-nucleotide transfer RNA is filed under the name Citrobacter freundii. RNAcentral describes it as "partial tRNA-Lys". It matches the Rfam family "tRNA". Rfam says of the family: Transfer RNA (tRNA) molecules are approximately 80 nucleotides in length. Their secondary structure includes four short double-helical elements and three loops (D, anti-codon, and T loops). Lineage: Bacteria; Pseudomonadati; Pseudomonadota; Gammaproteobacteria; Enterobacterales; Enterobacteriaceae. RNAcentral also lists the same sequence under 71 other names. The record is from RNAcentral.
GGGUCGUUAGCUCAGUUGGUAGAGCAGUUGACUUUUAAUCAAUUGGUCGCAGGUUCGAAUCCUGCACG